GGGGUUGUGGCUCGGUGGUAGAGUGCUUGUUCAGCACACGAGAGGCACUGGGUUCAAUCCUCAGCAUCACCU
This 72-nucleotide transfer RNA is filed under the name Marmota marmota marmota (Alpine marmot). It matches the Rfam family "tRNA". From Rfam's summary of the family: Transfer RNA (tRNA) molecules are approximately 80 nucleotides in length. Their secondary structure includes four short double-helical elements and three loops (D, anti-codon, and T loops). RNAcentral also lists the same sequence under 1 other name. The record is from Rfam by way of RNAcentral. Lineage: Eukaryota; Metazoa; Chordata; Mammalia; Rodentia; Sciuridae.